RNAcentral lists this long non-coding RNA (940 nucleotides) under Brassica napus (rape). Its description in RNAcentral is "long non-coding RNA (BNAP_LNC009685)". The record is from RNAcentral. Lineage: Eukaryota; Viridiplantae; Streptophyta; Magnoliopsida; Brassicales; Brassicaceae.
AAAAAAAGACUCUCUCUCUAAAAUCACCCAACUUCUCUCUAGACCUUCAAAAGCUGAUAUCGUUUUCCGGCGGCCGGUAGGCUAAUCGCCACCGGUUGCCAUACUCUUUUGUGUUUUCUUUUUGGUGUAUUAUAUUAUCUUCCGUUAAGCGGAUAAUGGUUUUCGCUAGGCGACUUGUAUUUCGUUUGACGAUUUUGUUGUGUCUUUUCAAGCCAAUAUCGAACUUGUUCUUCAUGAUUAUCUUGUGCUUUCGAUUUGGUUUGAAUAAAUAAGUUUUAGAUAUGUCCAGAAAAUCCUCUUUGCUUGCUUUAAUCAAAAAUCCCGAAGCUAUGUUCUUAGUUCUUCUUUUCUCAUUUUAGCUUGUUUUACUUCAAUGGAUUAUAAAUCUACAUGAUUUAUGGCCACAUAAACUGGGCUUUGCAUGUAGUAUUUCAUUGUUUGCAAAUCAAGAGAUUGGGAGUGUCUUGGCGAUGGUGAGAUCAGAUCAAGAAGAGUUGGGGUCUUAUGGAUGUCCUAACAAAUGAUCUAUAUCUCUUCCUCCUUCAACCUCCCCGGAGAUACGUGAAGAUGGUGACUGAAGAAUAUGGUCAUAUGCCUAGGCAGUCUGCAAAGAGGAUAAUCUCAGAGGAUUUCUGAAGUCUGUUGAUGGUGGUAAAUUGAAGCGGAGAAGACAGCGGUUUAGAGGCGGAGAAGACACCGACUUCGCGGCGGAGGAUACACCGGCAAUAGGCGUGUUCGGAAGUUGGUGGUAGAUGCUAGAUAUAUCUCCUAAAUGAUGACACGUGGUCCUAAUCUCUUUCGGUGGAAGACGCGUAGAUCAAUUCUCAUCUCAUCAAUAUGUUUUCUUACCGAUUAAGUUUAAUAUAUUGGGCCCUUAUGUAGACUUUUAAAUCCUCUGUACCUUGCCCAUUGGGCUUUAUGAAAUGAAUUAUGUUGACAA